This is an RNA transcript of Papaver somniferum (opium poppy), 819 nucleotides long. RefSeq lists it as uncharacterized. Lineage: Eukaryota; Viridiplantae; Streptophyta; Magnoliopsida; Ranunculales; Papaveraceae. The record is from RefSeq and is a predicted model, not a curated record. The transcript is spliced from 2 exons.
AUUUCUUCAGGGAGAAAAUGGCUUCUUUUUGUGCUGUUUUGGUUUACAAUCUUGUGUUCCUCCUAGUGUCGACUGUUUCUGCGUCUAUGGAUGACACAAGUGUCGUUGGCUCUGCUUUCCCUUCUUUAGAGAUUGGAGUUCUUACGGAUACACCCUUCAAAUGUGACUCUGAGACCGGCGUCUACACGUCUAAGACAUCCGCUUGCAUUAUGCACAUCCUGUUUGACUUAUUGUUUUGGCUCACGCGAUGCAUUGGGUACCACCUUACUUGACUACAAGUGCUCAUUUAUUCCACCGAGUGGAAAAAUGCAAUGCGACUGCUGUUCUCAAAAACCCACACCUCCACCACCCCCACCAUGUUCCCCUCCUCCACCUUCAGGCGGUCAGUGUGAUACCGGAGACGACGUCACUGAGACUAGAUUUCAAGCUCAGAUUGCGUCGAUUGUACAAAUUGGUGCAGCCAAGAUUGUUCGGAGUUAGGAGGUCGUGUGAUUGAGAACAAGUGUGCGAUUGGUGAAUCUAAAUUUGUAAGGCGUUGCAAGUGUUGUUGUCGUGGAGGAAACUCUGGUCUAAAGUUGUCCUAGUUUCCCUUCCGAUGCAACAUGGGCCAUCUAUACCAAGUCUUGGACCAUGCUAAUAGAAGUUAUAGUCGUCGGGAUCCUUACUACUGGCAUCUUCAUCAUCAUCCAUAUAUCAUCGUAAUAUCGAGCGGAUCCAUCAAGCCACUCUUCUUUCUUUCUUUUUUUGUCUUUUUUUUUGAUUGGUUAGCACUCUUAGCCUUAUAUUUAGGCUUCUUUUAAAUGUAGCCUAUGCUUUUAU